ACCUGGCUGGCUCAGUCAGUGGAGCUUGUGACUCUUGAUUUUGGAGCUGUGAGUUCGAGUCCCAUGUUGGGUA
Molecule: transfer RNA, 73 nt
Filed under: Felis catus (domestic cat)
Lineage: Eukaryota; Metazoa; Chordata; Mammalia; Carnivora; Felidae
Also listed under: 1 other name
Rfam family: tRNA
About the family: Transfer RNA (tRNA) molecules are approximately 80 nucleotides in length. Their secondary structure includes four short double-helical elements and three loops (D, anti-codon, and T loops). Further hydrogen bonds mediate the characteristic L-shaped molecular structure. tRNAs have two regions of fundamental functional importance: the anti-codon, which is responsible for specific mRNA codon recognition, and the 3' end, to which the tRNAs corresponding amino acid is attached (by aminoacyl-tRNA synthetases). tRNAs cope with the degeneracy of the genetic code in two manners: having more than one tRNA (with a specific anti-codon) for a particular amino acid; and 'wobble' base-pairing, i.e. permitting non-standard base-pairing at the 3rd anti-codon position.
Source: Rfam by way of RNAcentral